GUUUGUACUGAAGGGUGGCACCCUCAACCAGUCAACCUCUAAGCAUGUUUUCUCUAGGACAAUGCAUUUGCCUAUCAGAAAUUAAUGAAUAUCAUGUGUGACCAAUGCAUUCUGUUUUUGUUAUACAGUUGUCAUGUCUCUAACCACAAGAGGAACAAGCGUGGAGCAAAUGCUUACUUGAACACACCAGAAAAUCCUCGAUAACCAACAUUUUAAAUAGUAGAUUUCAUAUUUCUGCAACUCCAAGCGGCAUUGUGCAUGUCAUCCGGCGGUUUUCUUCCAUGCCACAGUUUUUGCAUUUGCCAGGCUUCCCUGGUUUCUUCGGAGCAUCGUCUCUGUCCAGGCAGGUAGUGCGCUUAUGUCCCUCUCAAAGACAUAUGCUACAGAAUCUUCUCCACUUGCUCAGACCCUCGUAAGCCGCCUUUUCGCUGCCAUUUGUUGGUCUGUCGACCUCUUGUUGCUUAUCAGGAGGCGCUAGGUCUUGAAGGGCAUUCCAUCACUGUUAUCUUGGUUACCAUUAUCAACACCAACAUAGUAAACCAAUCUACCCAGUUCGAGUCUCUCAUUAUGGUCUUAAAAACCUAAACCAUCCCUCUUUGCUGCCAAUGGUGCGCUCAUCGUGUGUUCAAAUGCUUCGGCACUCGCGUUGCCCGUCCGCACGACCUGCAUAGCUUUCAGGUAAGUGUUGAGUGUCUGCAUGUGAAUGACAAUUUCACUGAAUUAUCCUUCUGAUGUUGAACCAGGUCCAAGGGGAGUAUGUCCCUCCCUGGUCCAGCAAUUCGCAAUAAGCUUCACCGGGAUCUCCUCCAGAAGAAGUAUGUCCAUGACC
Molecule: long non-coding RNA, 829 nt
Filed under: Triticum aestivum (bread wheat)
Lineage: Eukaryota; Viridiplantae; Streptophyta; Magnoliopsida; Poales; Poaceae
Description: long non-coding RNA (TAES_LNC013124)
Source: RNAcentral